This 407-nucleotide ribosomal RNA is filed under the name uncultured bacterium. RNAcentral describes it as "partial 16S ribosomal RNA". It matches the Rfam family "Bacterial small subunit ribosomal RNA", at positions 28 to 526 of the family's 1533-position model. The record is from RNAcentral.
GACGAACGCUGGCGGCGUGCCUAAUACAUGCAAGUAGAACGCAGUUGCGAACGGGUGAGUAACGCGUAGGUAACUGCCUCAUAGCGGGGGAUACCUAUUGGAAACGCUAGUUAAUACCGCACACUGUGAGAUGGACCUGCGUUGUAUUAGGUAGUUGGUGUGGUAAAGGCUCACCAAGGCGGCGAUACAUAGCCGGCCUGAGCGGGUGGUCGGGCACACUGGGACUGAGAAACGGGCCAGACUCCUUCGGGGAGCAGCCGUAGGGAAUCUUCGGCAAUUGGCGGAAGUCUGGCCGAGGAACGCCGGGGGGGUGGAGAAGGUUUUCGGAUCGGAAAGCUCUGUUGUUAGAGAAGCGGUAACUAACCAGAAAGGGACGGCUAACUACGUGCCAGCAGCCGCGGUAAUAC